Ribosomal RNA from Pteropus vampyrus (large flying fox), 118 nucleotides. Lineage: Eukaryota; Metazoa; Chordata; Mammalia; Chiroptera; Pteropodidae. The record is from Ensembl.
GUCUAUGGCCAUGCCACCCUGAACGUGCCCAGUCUCAUCUGAUCUCGAGGCUAAGCAGGAUCGGGUCUGGUUAGUACUUGGAUGGGAGACCACCUAGGAAGACCAGGUGCUGCAGGCA